GAUGAACGCUGGCGGCGUGCCUAAUACAUGCAAGUCGAGCGAACAGACGAGGAGCUUGCUCCUUCGACGUUAGCGGCGGACGGGUGAGUAACACGUAGGUAACCUACCUAUAAGACUGGGAUGACUUCGGGAAACCGGAGCUAAUACCGGAUAAUAUUUCGAACCGCAUGGUUCGAUAGUGAAAGAUGGCUUUGCUAUCACUUAUAGAUGGACCUGCGCCGUAUUAGCUAGUUGGUAAGGUAACGGCUUACCAAGGCAACGAUACGUAGCCGACCUGAGAGGGUGAUCGGCCACACUGGAACUGAGACACGGUCCAGACUCCUACGGGAGGCAGCAGUAGGGAAUCUUCCGCAAUGGGCGAUAGCCUGACGGAGCAACGCCGCGUGAGUGAUGAAGGUCUUCGGAUCGUAAAACUCUGUUAUUAGGGAAGAACAAACGUGUAAGUAACUGUGCACGUCUUGACGGUACCUAAUCAGAAAGCCACGGCUAACUACGUG
This 497-nucleotide ribosomal RNA is filed under the name uncultured bacterium. RNAcentral describes it as "partial 16S ribosomal RNA". It matches the Rfam family "Bacterial small subunit ribosomal RNA", at positions 28 to 507 of the family's 1533-position model. The record is from RNAcentral.